AGUGGCAUCUUGUAUAUUUUGUCCAUGGCUUCAUGCACUCGUUAUGGUGGCUUCAAAGACCUGAAAUCAUCACUCGUAACUCCAUUCUUGUUCCCCUUGCGCAUGCCAUAUUCUCCAUGCUUUCUCUUGCUCCAAUGUUCAUCCUUCUCCAAGCUAGGCCCUUCAUUUGUAAGCAAAACAAAUGUAUCCAAUUUAGGCAGCAUCAUAUUCUCAUGAACAUUAGAAUCAUUACCAAGAACCGAAAGUACCUGGUAAUUUAGUUGGAGUGCGCGAGCUCUAGUAAUUGAUCCAGUAUGUAUAGCAGCAGGGGUUGUGGGUGUAACAAUGGUAUUGAUGUCCUCAUCAACAUAAAUCAAGUAUUUUCUACAGUUUGACAGUCAUGUGUGUCAUCAUGAAGUAAGAAUUCUUUCGUUCAUUCUUUAUCCUGAAGCAGGUCUCAAACUAAUAAACUAUAUGUUUUUUCAUAGUUUAGAACCCACCAAAAUAGAAUAAAAGAAACACAUGAAUAGUAGGUUGUAAAUUUGGUUAUAACAAACCAAAAACAACAGGCACUAAAUAAACAAACAAAAUAUUGGACCACUUGGGGUUUUUGUCACAAAAUUAUACCAAGGUUGAACGGAGAUUUCAGUUCAGGGUGAGUCCCAUGAGAACCUUUUCAUACUCUGUUGGCUUUCUUCUAAAUCCAUGACCAACAAAGGUGGAUUUGGUUACCAUUCCCUUCAACUGCUUCGGAAGGAAAAAAUUAUUAGCUAAACUAUUCGGCUCAGUGCAGAAGAAAUACUAUAUAUACUCUGUGCUAACGUUGACUGAUAGUUCAUAAAAGCAACUUCAGACUGAAAAUCGUGACCACCGUCUCGCUCCUUGCUUGCCCACCAUCGUUGUUGAUGCGGUUGUUGAAGCUUGCACAUCCAGCACCGAUGCACGCUUGAUGGGGGAUGCAGGCCGCUAGUGCUGGUUGUGGAGGGAGAGUAGACGUGUGCAACACAUGAGAACAGAGAUGAAUGUUUGGAGAGGGAAAAAUCGAGAGAGUGAGAGAUUGGGAAAGGGAUCUCGCCGCCUCCAGCUCGAACUCGCUGAUGAGCGGUCCUUCGCCUCGAGCACCUUCAUCCCGUCUCUCCAUUUUCUGACCUUCCUUGUCUCCGCCUCGAGCUUGAGCUCCAAUCUGCCGCCACCAGAUCCGACCCUGUCACCCCCUCCUUCCUUGCCUGCCCCUCGAGCUCACCCUCUCCUUCUCCGCCACCUGGGUCAGUGGGCCCAGAGGGGAAGGCUCAGCGAGAGCACGGGGAUGUCUCGGUCGGGGUGGUGGUGGCAGCGAGAGAAAGCACGACGACGAUGCAACAAGCAUCUCGGCAUCCCGUGCUUCACUUGUGCCGAGGACGAUGGUGACGGUGCCAGGCGUCUUGUGCAUUUGUCUCCUUGAGAUGGAGGAGGUGGAGCUCGAGCUGGUCGCGUUGUGGAGGGAGAGGCGGCGUAGUAGCUGGAGCAUAGGAGGGAUGAGGAGAGGCGAGGGACGAGCGAGCGGGGAACAAAGUCAAAGGGGACCUAGGGUUGUGUGGUGGCUGGUGCGGGAGUGAGACGCGAGGACGGGGGAUUGGG
RNAcentral lists this long non-coding RNA (1596 nucleotides) under Triticum aestivum (bread wheat). Its description in RNAcentral is "long non-coding RNA (TAES_LNC003243)". The record is from RNAcentral. Lineage: Eukaryota; Viridiplantae; Streptophyta; Magnoliopsida; Poales; Poaceae.